GCCAUCAGAGCACUGCUGCAGCAGCAGCGCUAACGUGCCGUGUAUUCGCUUCGCGAGGAUCUAUACUAGCAGCCGCUCUCCUGGGAACUGCAUCUGAUACUGGCAGCUUGAGUCUCGUAGAGGGGGGUAGAAUUCCAGGUGUAGCGGUGAAAUGCGUAGAGAUCUGGAGGAAUACCGGUGGCGAAGGCGGCCCCCUGGACGAAGACUGACGCUCAGGUGCGAAAGCGUGGGGAGCAAACAGGAUUAGAUACCCUGGUAGUCCACGCCGUAAACGAUGUCGACUUGGAGGUUGUGCCCUUGAGGCGUGGCUUCCGGAGCUAACGCGUUAAGUCGACCGCCUGGGGAGUACGGCCGCAAGGUUAAAACUCAAAUGAAUUGACGGGGGCCCGCACAAGCGGUGGAGCAUGUGGUUUAAUUCGAUGCAACGCGAAGAACCUUACCUGGUCUUGACAUCCACAGAACUUUCCAGAGAUGGAUUGGUGCCUUCGGGAACUGUGAGACAGGUGCUGCAUGGCUGUCGUCAGCUCGUGUUGUGAAUGUUGGGUUAAGUCCCGCAACGAGCGCAACCCUUAUCCUUUGUUGCAGCGGUCCGGCGGGACUCAAAGGAGACUGCCAGUGAUAACUGGAGGAAGGGGGAUGACGUCAAGUCAUCAUGGCCCUUACGACAGGCUACACACGUGCUACAUGCGCAUACAAAGAGAGCGACCUCGCGAGAGCAGCGACUCAUAAAGUGCGUCGUAUCCGGAUUGAGUCUGCACUCGACUCCAUGAAGUCGGAUCGCUAGUAUCAUGAAUCAGAUGCCACGUGAUACGUCCCCGGAUCUA
RNAcentral lists this ribosomal RNA (824 nucleotides) under Escherichia coli. Its description in RNAcentral is "bacterial SSU rRNA". It matches the Rfam family "Bacterial small subunit ribosomal RNA", at positions 558 to 1382 of the family's 1533-position model. The record is from RNAcentral. Lineage: Bacteria; Pseudomonadati; Pseudomonadota; Gammaproteobacteria; Enterobacterales; Enterobacteriaceae.